UACGUAGGUAGCGAGCGUUAUUCGGAUUCACUGGGCGUAAAGGGUCCGCAGGAGGCCUGUCAAGCCGGACGUGAAAGCCCAAGGCUCAACCUUGGAAUGGCGUCCGGGACUGCCGGGCUAGAGUGCACGAGGGGAAAGCAGAAUUCCUGGUGUAGCGGUGGAAUGCGUAGAUAUCAGGAGGAAUACCGAUGGCGAAGGCGGCUUUCUGGCGUGCAACUGACUCUCAGGGACGAAAGUGUGGGGAG
RNAcentral lists this ribosomal RNA (245 nucleotides) under uncultured bacterium. RNAcentral describes it as "partial 16S ribosomal RNA". It matches the Rfam family "Bacterial small subunit ribosomal RNA", at positions 524 to 768 of the family's 1533-position model. The record is from RNAcentral.